CCUACGGGUGGCAGCAGUGAGGAAUAUUGGUCAAUGGCCGGAAGGCUGAACCAGCCAAGCCGCGUGAAGGACGAAGGUGCCAAGCAUUGUAAACUUCUUUUGUCAAGGGACAAAAUCAGGCUCGAGAGCCUGACCGCGGGUACUUGAAGCAAAAGCAUCGGCAAACCCCGUGCCAGCAGCCGCGGUAAUACGGAAGAUGCGAGCGUUAGCCGGAUUUAUUGGGUUUAAAGGGUGCGUAGGCGGGCGGUUAAGUCAGCGGUAAAAGCCCGGGGCUCAACCCCGGCGAGCCGUUGAAACUGGCUGUCUUGAGAUGUCGAGAGGUAUGCGGAAUGCGCAGUGUAGCGGUGAAAUGCUUAGAGAUUGCGCAGAACUCCGAUUGCGAAGGCAGCAUACCGGCGGCGAUCUGACGCUGAGGCACGAAAGCGUGGGUAUCGAACAGGAUUAGAUACCCGUGUAGUC
Molecule: ribosomal RNA, 459 nt
Filed under: uncultured bacterium
Lineage: Bacteria
Description: partial 16S ribosomal RNA
Rfam family: Bacterial small subunit ribosomal RNA
Source: RNAcentral